This is a non-coding RNA of Potamilus streckersoni, 70 nucleotides long. The record is from the annotation of a GenBank genome assembly. NCBI's taxonomy places the organism in Eukaryota, Metazoa, Mollusca, Bivalvia, Unionida, Unionidae.
GAUGGCUCAGCGGUUAAGGCGUCAGACUAGUGAUGAGAAGGGUUUUGGUUCGAUUCCAAAUAUCAAAUCA